UUUGGUUAAGUUAGAAAGGGCGCACGGUGGAUGCCUUGACACUAGGAGUCGAUGAAGGACGGGACUAACGCCGAUAUGCUUCGGGGAGCUGUAAGUAAGCUUUGAUCCGAAGAUUUCCGAAUGGGGAAACCCACCAUACGUAAUGGUAUGGUAUCCUUACCUGAAUACAUAGGGUAAGGAAGACAGACCCAGGGAACUGAAACAUCUAAGUACCUGGAGGAAGAGAAAGCAAAUGCGAUUUCCUGAGUAGCGGCGAGCGAAACGGAACAUAGCCCAAACCAAGAGGCUUGCCUCUUGGGGUUGUAGGACAUUCUAUACGGAGUUACAAAGGAACGAGGUAGACGAAGCGACCUGGAAAGGUCCGUCGUAGAGGGUAACAACCCCGUAGUCGAAACUUCGUUCUCUCUUGAAUGUAUCCUGAGUACGGCGGAACACGUGAAAUUCCGUCGGAAUCUGGGAGGACCAUCUCCCAAGGCUAAAUACUCCCUAGUGAUCGAUAGUGAACCAGUACCGUGAGGGAAAGGUGAAAAGCACCCCGGAAGGGGAGUGAAAGAGAUCCUGAAACCGUGUGCCUACAAAUAGUCAGAGCCCGUUAACGGGUGAUGGCGUGCCUUUUGUAGAAUGAACCGGCGAGUUACGAUCCCGUGCGAGGUUAAGCUGAAGAGGCGGAGCCGCAGCGAAAGCGAGUCUGAAUAGGGCGUUUAGUACGUGGUCGUAGACCCGAAACCAGGUGAUCUACCCAUGUCCAGGGUGAAGUUCAGGUAACACUGAAUGGAGGCCCGAACCCACGCACGUUGAAAAGUGCGGGGAUGAGGUGUGGGUAGCGGAGAAAUUCCAAUCGAACCUGGAGAUAGCUGGUUCUCCCCGAAAUAGCUUUAGGGCUAGCCUUAAGUGUAAGAGUCUUGGAGGUAGAGCACUGAUUGGACUAGGGGUCCUCAUCGGAUUACCGAAUUCAGUCAAACUCCGAAUGCCAAUGACUUAUCCUUAGGAGUCAGACUGCGAGUGAUAAGAUCCGUAGUCAAAAGGGAAACAGCCCAGACCGCCAGCUAAGGUCCAAAGUGUGUAUUAAGUGGAAAAGGAUGUGGAGUUGCUUAGACAACUAGGAUGUUGGCUUAGAAGCAGCCACCAUUUAAAGAGUGCGUAAUAGCUCACUAGUCGAGUGACUCUGCGCCGAAAAUGUACCGGGGCUAAAUACACCACCGAAGCUGCGGAUUGAUACCAAUGGUAUCAGUGGUAGGGGAGCGUUCUAAGGACAGUGAAGUCAGACCGGAAGGACUGGUGGAGUGCUUAGAAGUGAGAAUGCCGGUAUGAGUAGCGAAAGACGGGUGAGAAUCCCGUCCACCGAAUGCCUAAGGUUUCCUGAGGAAGGCUCGUCCGCUCAGGGUUAGUCAGGACCUAAGCCGAGGCCGACAGGCGUAGGCGAUGGACAACAGGUUGAUAUUCCUGUACCACCUCUUUAUCGUUUGAGCAAUGGAGGGACGCAGAAGGAUAGAAGAAGCGUGCGAUUGGUUGUGCACGUCCAAGCAGUUAGGCUGAUAAGUAGGCAAAUCCGCUUAUCGUGAAGACUGAGCUGUGAUGGGGAAGCUCCUUAUGGAGCGAAGUCUUUGAUUCCCCGCUGCCAAGAAAAGCUUCUAGCGAGAUAAAAGGUGCCUGUACCGCAAACCGACACAGGUAGGCGAGGAGAGAAUCCUAAGGUGUGCGAGAGAACUCUGGUUAAGGAACUCGGCAAAAUGACCCCGUAACUUCGGGAGAAGGGGUGCUUUCUUAACGGAAAGCCGCAGUGAAUAGGCCCAAGCGACUGUUUAGCAAAAACACAGCUCUCUGCGAAGCCGUAAGGCGAAGUAUAGGGGGUGACACCUGCCCGGUGCUGGAAGGUUAAGGAGAGGGGUUAGCGUAAGCGAAGCUCUGAACUGAAGCCCCAGUAAACGGCGGCCGUAACUAUAACGGUCCUAAGGUAGCGAAAUUCCUUGUCGGGUAAGUUCCGACCCGCACGAAAGGUGUAACGAUUUGGGCACUGUCUCAACCAGAGACUCGGUGAAAUUAUAGUACCUGUGAAGAUGCAGGUUACCCGCGACAGGACGGAAAGACCCCGUGGAGCUUUACUGUAGCCUGAUAUUGAAUUUUGGUACAGUUUGUACAGGAUAGGCGGGAGCCUUUGAAACCGGAGCGCUAGCUUCGGUGGAGGCGCUGGUGGGAUACCGCCCUGACUGUAUUGAAAUUCUAACCUACGGGUCUUAUCGACCCGGGAGACAGUGUCAGGUGGGCAGUUUGACUGGGGCGGUCGCCUCCUAAAGUGUAACGGAGGCGCCCAAAGGUUCCCUCAGAAUGGUUGGAAAUCAUUCGUAGAGUGCAAAGGCAUAAGGGAGCUUGACUGCGAGACCUACAAGUCGAGCAGGGACGAAAGUCGGGCUUAGUGAUCCGGUGGUUCCGCAUGGAAGGGCCAUCGCUCAACGGAUAAAAGCUACCCCGGGGAUAACAGGCUUAUCUCCCCCAAGAGUCCACAUCGACGGGGAGGUUUGGCACCUCGAUGUCGGCUCAUCGCAUCCUGGGGCUGUAGUCGGUCCCAAGGGUUGGGCUGUUCGCCCAUUAAAGCGGUACGCGAGCUGGGUUCAGAACGUCGUGAGACAGUUCGGUCCCUAUCCGUCGUGGGCGUAGGAAAUUUGAGAGGAGCUGUCCUUAGUACGAGAGGACCGGGAUGGACGCACCGCUGGUGUACCAGUUGUUCUGCCAAGGGCAUAGCUGGGUAGCUAUGUGCGGAAGGGAUAAGUGCUGAAAGCAUCUAAGCAUGAAGCCCCCCUCAAGAUGAGAUUUCCCAUAGCGUAAGCUAGUAAGAUCCCUGAAAGAUGAUCAGGUUGAUAGGUUCGAGGUGGAAGCAUGGUGACAUGUGGAGCUGACGAAUACUAAUAGAUCGAGGACUUAACCAUAUAA
This 2928-nucleotide ribosomal RNA is filed under the name Bacillus anthracis (anthrax bacterium). RNAcentral's name for it is "bacterial LSU rRNA". It matches the Rfam family "Bacterial large subunit ribosomal RNA". The record is from RNAcentral. Lineage: Bacteria; Bacillati; Bacillota; Bacilli; Caryophanales; Bacillaceae.